Molecule: ribosomal RNA, 739 nt
Filed under: uncultured Streptococcus sp.
Lineage: Bacteria; Bacillati; Bacillota; Bacilli; Lactobacillales; Streptococcaceae
Description: bacterial SSU rRNA
Rfam family: Bacterial small subunit ribosomal RNA
Source: RNAcentral
GGGUGAGUAACGCGUAGGUAACCUGCCUGGUAGCGGGGGAUAACUAUUGGAAACGAUAGCUAAUACCGCAUAAUAGCAGUUGUUGCAUGACAGCUGUUUGAAAGGUGCAAUUGCACCACUACCAGAUGGACCUGCGUUGUAUUAGCUAGUUGGUGGGGGAACGGCCCACCAAGGCGACGAUACAUAGCCGACCUGAGAGGGUGAUCGGCCACACUGGGACUGAGACACGGCCCAGACUCCUACGGGAGGCAGCAGUAGGGAAUCUUCGGCAAUGGACGGAAGUCUGACCGAGCAACGCUGCGUGAGUGAAGAAGGUUUUCGGAUCGUAAAGCUCUGUUGUAAGAGAAGAACGAGUGUGAGAGUGGAAAGUUCACACUGUGACGGUAUCCUACCAGAAAGGGACGGCUAACUACAUGCCAGCAGCCGCGGUAAUACGUGGGUCCCGAGCGUUGUCCGGAUUUAUUGGGCGUAAAGCGAGCGCAGGCGGUUAGAUAAGUCUGAAGUUAAAGGCUGUGGCUUAACCAUAGUACGCUUUGGAAACUGUUUAACUUGAGUGCAAGAGGGGAGAGUGGAAUUCCAUGUGUAGCGGUGAAAUGCGUAGAUAUAUGGAGGAACACCGGUGGCGAAAGCGGCUCUCUGGCUUGUAACUGACGCUGAGGCUCGAAAGCGUGGGGAGCAAACAGGAUUAGAUAUCCUGGUAGUCCACGCCGUAAACGAUGAGUGCUAGGUGUUAGACCCU